This 209-nucleotide long non-coding RNA is filed under the name Struthio camelus australis. RNAcentral describes it as "lncRNA (ENSSCUG00000012954.1)". The record is from RNAcentral. Lineage: Eukaryota; Metazoa; Chordata; Aves; Struthioniformes; Struthionidae.
UUUCUUACUAAAUCUAGCAGGCUGUAUUUCUCCACAGGAAUGGUGUGGAUUGACUCACCAGUCUUAUCUUUGAAGCCUGGCAGCAGGCUUACAUACCCACUCCCCACAGCACAGCCCACUGAUGGCACCGAAAGAUGCGUAAACAAACAUUCAGGUUAAGUGACUUGUCCAAUGUUAAUCAGUGGUGGAAGUGCAACUUUAAGCUCCUG